This 716-nucleotide unclassified non-coding RNA is filed under the name Hevea brasiliensis (rubber tree). The record is from RNAcentral. Lineage: Eukaryota; Viridiplantae; Streptophyta; Magnoliopsida; Malpighiales; Euphorbiaceae.
GUGAUUAUGAUAGCUACUAUGGGAGAUUUUUCCUCCAUUGGUAUAGACAGGUCUUAAUAGAUCAUGCUAAUAACGUUCUCACCCUGGCAAGUCUUGCAUUUGAGGGGAUACAAAUUGUCGUGAAGAUUCCAUCAAUUUAUUGGUGGUACAGAACGAGCAGCCAUGCUGCAGAGCUCACAGCUGGAUAUUACAACCCAACGAACCAGGAUGGCUAUUCUCCAGUGUUUGAAGUUCUCAAAAAGCACUCUGUAACAAUAAAGUUUGUAAGCUCAGGGCUUCAGGUUCCAGAAACUGAUGACGCGUUAGCAGAUCCAGAAGGCUUGAGUUGGCAGAUAAUAAAUUCAGCAUGGGAUAAGAAGAUCACUGUUGCUGGUCAGAAUGCAUUUCCGUGCUAUGAUAGAGAAGGAUUUAUGAGGCUGGUUGAGACUGCAAAGCCUAGAAAUGAUCCUGAUCGUCACCGUUUCUCUUUUUUUGCAUUCCAACAACCAUCGCCUUUGGUUCAGAGUGCAAUAUGUUUCUCGGAACUGGACUACUUCAUCAAAUGCAUGCACGGAGAAAUCAACAAUGUGGAAUCUUAAAUCAUCAUAGAAUCUUUGCUUGAUAAUGAAGAUGGAUCUUUAUUUACUUUCAAAACUUUUUUUCCUUGUACUUAUCCAAAUAUGUUUGUCCAAUUUAUGUAAAUUGUAAAUGGAAUUCAGUUGAUUUAUACAUAAAAC